This 73-nucleotide transfer RNA is filed under the name Dermacentor andersoni. Its description in RNAcentral is "transfer RNA valine (anticodon UAC)". It matches the Rfam family "tRNA". Rfam says of the family: Transfer RNA (tRNA) molecules are approximately 80 nucleotides in length. Lineage: Eukaryota; Metazoa; Arthropoda; Arachnida; Ixodida; Ixodidae. The record is from RNAcentral.
GGUUCUGUAGUGUAGUGGUUAUCACGUUCGCUUUACACGCGAAAGGUCUCCGGUUCGAUCCCGGACGGAACCA